CAGCCGCCGCGGGAAAACGUAGGUUGCAAGCGUUAAUCGGAAUUACUGGGCGUAAAGCGUGCGCAGGCGGUUAUAUAAGACAGAUGUGAAAUCCCCGGGCUCAACCUGGGAACUGCAUUUGUGACUGUAUAGCUAGAGUACGGCAGAGGGGGAUGGAAUUCCGCGUGUAGCAGUGAAAUGCGUAGAUAUGCGGAGGAACACCGAUGGCGAAGGCAAUCCCCUGGGCCUGUACUGACGCUCAUGCACGAAAGCGUGGGGAGCAAACAGGAUUAGAUACCCCUGUAGUCCCUGUCUCUUAUAC
Molecule: ribosomal RNA, 301 nt
Filed under: uncultured bacterium
Lineage: Bacteria
Description: partial 16S ribosomal RNA
Rfam family: Bacterial small subunit ribosomal RNA
Source: RNAcentral